Molecule: ribosomal RNA, 402 nt
Filed under: uncultured bacterium
Lineage: Bacteria
Description: partial 16S ribosomal RNA
Rfam family: Bacterial small subunit ribosomal RNA
Source: RNAcentral
AUUGAACGCUGGCGGCAGGCCUAACACAUGCAAGUCGAGCGAGCGGCGGACGGGUGAGUAAUGUAUGGGACUGCCCGAUAGAGGGGGAUAACUACUGGAAACGGUGGCUAAUACCGCAUACUCCCGGAUAACCCAUAUUGGAGUAGCUAGUAGGGGGGGUAAAGGUUAACCUAGGCGACGAUCACUAGCUGGUCUGAGCGGAUGAUCAGCCACACUGGGACUGAGACACGGCCCAGACUCCUACGGAGGAAGCAGUGGGGAAUAUUGCACAAUGGGCGCAAGCCUGAUGCAGCCAUGCCGCGGGUAUGAAGAAGGCCUUAGGGUUGUAAAGUACUUUCAGCGGGGAGGCGUUACCCGCAGAAGAAGCACCGGCUAACUCCGUGCCAGCAGCCGCGGUAAUUC